Molecule: ribosomal RNA, 468 nt
Filed under: uncultured Anoxybacillus sp.
Lineage: Bacteria; Bacillati; Bacillota; Bacilli; Caryophanales; Anoxybacillaceae
Description: bacterial SSU rRNA
Rfam family: Bacterial small subunit ribosomal RNA
Source: RNAcentral
GACGGGGCCGCACAAGCGGUGGAGCAUGUGGUUUAAUUCGAAGCAACGCGAAGAACCUUACCAGGUCUUGACAUCCCCUGACAACCGAGAGAUCGGGCGUUCCCCUUCGGGGGACAGGGUGACAGGUGGUGCAUGGUUGUCGUCAGCUCGUGUCGUGAGAUGUUGGGUUAAGUCCCGCAACGAGCGCAACCCUCGACCUUAGUUGCCAGCAUUCAGUUGGGCACUCUAAGGUGACUGCCGGCUAAAAGUCGGAGGAAGGUGGGGAUGACGUCAAAUCAUCAUGCCCCUUAUGACCUGGGCUACACACGUGCUACAAUGGGCGGUACAAAGGGUCGCGAACCCGCGAGGGGGAGCCAAUCCCAAAAAGCCGCUCUCAGUUCGGAUUGCAGGCUGCAACUCGCCUGCAUGAAGCCGGAAUCGCUAGUAAUCGCGGAUCAGCACGCCGCGGUGAAUACGUUCCCGGGCCUU